RNAcentral lists this long non-coding RNA (952 nucleotides) under Lactuca sativa (garden lettuce). RNAcentral describes it as "long non-coding RNA (LSAT_LNC002374)". The record is from RNAcentral. Lineage: Eukaryota; Viridiplantae; Streptophyta; Magnoliopsida; Asterales; Asteraceae.
CUAACUUCCCAUAUUACAUAUCUAUUAUAAACCAAAUGAAGAUUCCAACGAGAACUACAGCAAACAACAUCAAUUUAUCAGUCCCCUUUGUUUUGUCAAUCACCUCUAGCUUGAUUACUUUCUUUUGCAGGGCCGGUUCUCAUUCUCCAAUUGCAUAGUCUUCUUGGACAGGAUCAUAUUAUCCUUGUACAAAUAUAUAUUCUCCUUUUGCAACUCAUUGAUUUUAUGCUUAUACCUGUUAACUAUUCAACACCCAUCCAUAAAAAAUGCUUACAAUCUUUUGAAGGAUCCUACAAAAAAAUUGAAGUUUAUGUGUAAACAUUAUUGAAAAAACAUCAAUUUUAAAUGAUAUUAACAUACCAGAAAACUAGGGCACCGAAUGAAAUGUCGGCCUGGGUUCGUCUUGUUCGUUGAAGUCCAUAUCUUUGGUUAUUCACUACAUUUACACUUUUUAAAGCCAUGUCAGCUAUGUUACCGGUUGCUUAGGGUAACCAGUUACAAAGCAUGAAAACAACAAAGGUUAGAAAAAAUAAUGGUUAAUUUGUAAAAAAAAAAAAAAAAAGUAAAUAAGGGUUUUUUUUAAUCAUUGGAGUAUAAUACAUAGGGUUUUUAUGAGUUUUUCCCUACCAAAAUUGAUUCUAAUAAGUAAACUAGAUGUAUUAAAGGAUCGCUUCAUUUUGAAAAUAUAUCAUCAAUAGGAUUUUUUUUCAUUGAAUUUAUUUUUUGUAUUUAUUCUGUUUUUUUUUACUUUAUUAAAAUUUAUAUUAUACCGUACAAAAGUAGAAUUUUAUAAAAUAUUUAUAAAUACAAAACGUCAAUCAAACAGAUACUCAAAACACAUAUCUUUAUAAAUCAAUAAAUAUUAUAUUUUCAUUGAUCGAUGGUUAUAACCUAUAAAAUAUUUACCUUGUUUUUCGGGCUCUGCUUCAUUUGCCGAAUAAAAUUCUAACCU